This 1292-nucleotide non-coding RNA is filed under the name Tamlana sp. s12. RNAcentral's name for it is "bacterial LSU rRNA". It matches the Rfam family "Bacterial large subunit ribosomal RNA", at positions 1195 to 2473 of the family's 2925-position model. The record is from RNAcentral. Lineage: Bacteria; Pseudomonadati; Bacteroidota; Flavobacteriia; Flavobacteriales; Flavobacteriaceae.
CGAAGCUACGGGUUCAUCCUCUGGAUGAGCGGUAGAGGAGCGUCGUGUAAGCCAAUGAAGGUGGAUUGAGAAGUCUGCUGGAGGUAUCACGAGUGCGAAUGCUGACAUGAGUAACGAUAAGGGGAGUGAAAAACUCCCCCGCCGGAAGACCAAGGUUUUCUGUUCUACGUUAAUCGGAGCAGAGUGAGUCGGCCCCUAAGGCGAGGCGGAAACGCGUAGUCGAUGGGAAACGGGUUAAUAUUCCCGUACCGGAUGUGGUUGCGAUGGGGGGACGAAGAAGGCUAGGUGAGCCAGGCGUUGGUUGUCCUGGUGAAAGCAUGUAGGCCGAGGAAUCAGGCAAAUCCGGUUCCUCCGAGGUCGAGAUGCGAGACGAACUGACCACGGUCAGGAAGUCAUCGAUGCCACGCUUCCAGGAAAAGCCUCUAAGCUUCAGAUCACAUGCGACCGUACCCCAAACCGACACAGGUGGUCAGGUAGAGAAUACCAAGGCGCUUGAGAGAACUCGGGUGAAGGAACUAGGCAAAAUGGCACCGUAACUUCGGGAGAAGGUGCACCGGUUCGAGUGAAGGACUUGCUCCGUAAGCUCCUACCGGUCGAAGAUACCAGGUGGCUGCAACUGUUUAUUAAAAACACAGCACUCUGCAAACGCGCAAGCGGACGUAUAGGGUGUGACGCCUGCCCGGUGCCGGAAGGUUAAUUGAUGGGGUUAGGAUUCGUCCGAAGCUCUUGAUCGAAGCCCCGGUAAACGGCGGCCGUAACAAUAACGGUCCUAAGGUAGCGAAAUUCCUUGUCGGGUAAGUUCCGACCUGCACGAAUGGCGUAAUGAUGGCCACGCUGUCUCCACCCGAGACUCAGUGAAAUUGAAAUCGCAGUGAAGAUGCUGUGUACCCGCGGCUAGACGGAAAGACCCCGUGAACCUUUACUAUAGCUUUACACUGGAUGCUGAUGUUGUCUGUGUAGGAUAGCUGGGAGGCUUUGAAACCGCGUCGCCAGAUGCGGUGGAGCCAACCUUGAAAUACCAGCCUGACAUCAUUGGCGUUCUAACUCAGGUCCGUCAUCCGGAUCGAGGACAGUGUAUGGUGGGUAGUUUGACUGGGGCGGUCUCCUCCUAAAGAGUAACGGAGGAGCACGAAGGUACCCUCAGCACGGUUGGAAAUCGUGCAUUGAGUGCAAGAGCAUAAGGGUGCUUGACUGCGAGACAGACACGUCGAGCAGGUACGAAAGUAGGUUCUAGUGAUCCGGUGGUUCUGUAUGGAAGGGCCAUCGCUCAACGGAUAAAAGGUACUCCGGAG